This 382-nucleotide ribosomal RNA is filed under the name uncultured bacterium. RNAcentral describes it as "bacterial SSU rRNA". It matches the Rfam family "Bacterial small subunit ribosomal RNA", at positions 29 to 412 of the family's 1533-position model. The record is from RNAcentral.
AUUGAACGCUGGCGGCAUGCCUUACACAUGCAAGUCGAACGGCAGCACGGGAGCAAUCCUGGUGGCGAGUGGCGAACGGGUGAGUAAUAUAUCGGAACGUGCUCAGUAGUGGGGGAUAGCCCGGCGAAAGCCGGAUUAAUACCGCAUACGACCUGUGGGUGAAAGCGGGGGAUCGCAAGACCUCGCGCUAUUGGAGCGGCCGAUAUCAGAUUAGCUUGUUGGUGGGGUAAAAGCCCACCAAGGCGACGAUCUGUAGCUGGUCUGAGAGGACGACCAGCCACACUGGGACUGAGACACGGCCCAGACUCCUACGGGAGGCAGCAGUGGGGAAUUUUGGACAAUGGGCGCAAGCCUGAUCCAGCCAUGCCGCGUGUGGGAAGAA